GCUGUAGCUCAGAUGUAGAGCUUCUGCUUUGCUUGGAGAAGCUCCUAGGUUCAAUUCCUGGCAUCUGCA
Podarcis lilfordi (Lilford's wall lizard) is the source of this 69-nucleotide non-coding RNA. NCBI's taxonomy places the organism in Eukaryota, Metazoa, Chordata, Lepidosauria, Squamata, Lacertidae. The record is from the annotation of a GenBank genome assembly.